This 216-nucleotide long non-coding RNA is filed under the name Mytilus galloprovincialis (Mediterranean mussel). Lineage: Eukaryota; Metazoa; Mollusca; Bivalvia; Mytilida; Mytilidae. The record is from RNAcentral.
UAGAUUUUUAAUUAUUGGCCUAGUUUUCAAGUUGGUCCAAAUCAGGAUUCCAUAUCAAGUAUUGUGCAAUAGCAAGAAAUUUUCAAUUGCACAGUAUUGCACAAUAGCAAGAAAUAUCUAAUUGCACAAUAUUGUGCAAUAGCAAUUAAUUUUCAAUUGGAGUUAUCUUUCUUUGUAUAGAAUAGUAGUUGAUAAUAUAUGUUGGAAAUUUGCCAG